AUUGAACGCUGGCGGCAUGCCUUACACAUGCAAGUCGAACGGUAACGGGCCUUCGGGUGCCGACGAGUGGCGAACGGGUGAGUAAUGCAUCGGAACGUACCUUUCAGUGGGGGAUAACGUAGCGAAAGUUACGCUAAUACCGCAUAUUCUGUGAGCAGGAAAGCAGGGGAUCGCAAGACCUUGCGCUGAUUGAGCGGCCGAUGUCAGAUUAGCUAGUUGGUGAGGUAAAGGCUCACCAAGGCGACGAUCUGUAGCGGGUCUGAGAGGAUGAUCCGCCACACUGGAACUGAGACACGGUCCAGACUCCUACGGGAGGCAGCAGUGGGGAAUUUUGGACAAUGGGGGCAACCCUGAUCCAGCCAUGCCGCGUGAGUGAAGAAGGCCUGGUGUAAG
Molecule: ribosomal RNA, 393 nt
Filed under: uncultured bacterium
Lineage: Bacteria
Description: bacterial SSU rRNA
Rfam family: Bacterial small subunit ribosomal RNA
Source: RNAcentral